UCUAACUGAACGUACGCAAAAUCUCUGCAACCUUUCCCAAAUUUCCUCCAAAAUCGCGAUUCUCGCUUCUAAAUCUUCGUUCGGUUUCAAUUUUCGUUUCUCCUCCUAUAAAAUUUUGUAAUGUCAAGCUUUAAUUUCGAGAAAAAAGUAUUGAAGUUUUAUGGAUAAAAAGCACACUCUUAAGCGUGCAAGACCUUUCCAUCCAAUUCCAUCUUUACCACAUGUUUUUGAUAUUGAUAUAGAUGUCAAAAAUCCGUCAGUAAAAAUAGUUGAGUCUUAUAUGAAAGAGGCUCCAAGUGGCCAUGCAAAUGGAGAAUCAUCUUCGGCAAAUAGAUCUCAACCAGUUAGUUUGGGAAGAACGCGUUCUCAAAGGGCUAAGGCACAAGAUAUAGAUGGUUCUCCAAGUUCUAAGCAACAACAAAUCGGUGUUUCUCAAAUUGAUCCGAAAAUCCCCUUAAGUGGUCAUGCAAAUGGAGAAUCCUCUUCAGCAAUGUCAAAUGGAUCUGGAGCAGCUAGUUUGAGAAGAGCGCGUUCUCAAAGUGUUGAGGAAUGCGAAAUUGGUGGUUCUCAAAGUUCUAAGCAACGAGAACUCGAUGUUUCUCAAACUGGUAUUCGUCAGAAAAAACAUGCCAAGUCCCCUUCAAAGGUGGCAGUGCUCUAUGUGAUAAACUCCUUCCUCUUUUCUAUUAAGAACCCCAAAUUGGUUCAUAGGGGUUACUUUGACUUGGUUGAGGAAGGUGAUUAUAACAAAUGUCCAUGGGGAAGAGUUGUAUACUAAGGCUACCUUGGAAUCGAUGUCUGGCAUUUUGGAUAGGCGGGCACAAUAUUAUCAGAUUUCAAGGUUUCCUCUUGCUAUUCAGAUAUGGUUAUAUGAAUGUUGUGGAUAUGUGCGUAAUAGUGUCGAGUUUUGGUGUGGGAAUAAAUAUCCACGAAUUCUUAGAUGGAAGAUCACAAGGCAGCUAAAGUUCGAGGAAUUACAUGAGAAAGUGUAUGGUUUUCCUUCUCACGAGUUGAAUUUAAGGAAUAUGUCUCUUGACGACUUAGGAGAAUGGCGCGAAAAAUAAUGUUGAUCAGAGACACUCUAGUUCACUCUAGUUCAGAUGAUGACUUUGUUGAUUAUCCACCUGAGAGCUCAAAAAGGCGGGGCAAAAGGCAGGGCAAAAGGCUGGGGAAAGUUGCAGUUGACUUGAACAAUAAGGUGGCAGAUAAUGACUUUGUCGAUCCUCCACCUCAAACAUCAAAAAUGAAAGUCAAAGCUGCAAAUGACUUGGAGAAGGAGGUGGUAGAGAAUAUUCAUGACAAACGUCAUAGUUGAGUUUAAGAUUUUGGCAGAUGGACAAUGGGAAUUGUAGAAAUAUUGACAUUGAAGAAGUAAUAUAAGGAUGAACUAGUGGUUUUAAAGACUUAUCUUGCCGAUAAAUUUAUGGAGGUGUUAGAAUCCAUUGAUUCAAUUAAGAAGAGAAAUUCAGAGAAGCAACACAACAGAGAUGUCGAAAAAGAUGGAGAUGGCGAUGGUGAUACUAAUCAGGAUGCAGUCGAUGAAACCAAAGAGAAAGAAGUGUCUGGCUCUCAAGAGGAUGCCCAUGAUAUCAAUGAAAAUGAUGGCAAUAAAAAUAAAAAUGUGAAUUUAGAAGGGAACAAGGAAGGGACUUCUGGUAUUUAACUGUAUAGUUCUAAAUUUAAUUUUUUAUGUGUAUCUUUCUGACAGUUUGAUGUAUUUUAUGCAGCACCUGGGUUAGUUGAUGUUGGAGUUGGUAAAACGACUUUAGAAAUGUGGAUGAUGAUAAGUGGUUUAAAAUGUGUGACUCGGAGGCUCAUAAAUUAACAUGUGAGCUUGGUAAACAAACCACAACUGAAUAUCUUUCAUUUUGUCAUAUGCCUAAACAGUCAGGUGAUGAAGAUGUUCCAGCUGUUGAGAUUCGUAAAGAAUCAACAACGGAAAUGUUUCUAGAUUACGAGGUUGAGAUGAGCGACUUUUAGAAUGAGUCUCAGAUUCAUAAACUAACUUCUAAGAUUGCAAACCAAUCCAUAUGUGUAGGUGUUGCAAUUUCUCUACACCAGAAGGUGUUGCAACGUCUUCUUUGUCGAUCCAGUCAACAUGUGAAGAUGUUCAACCUUAUGUGGUUUCCGAUGACUCAAAUCAAAAAGAUGCAACAAGAAUGAGAUAACCUGUUGUACCUCGUGUUCUUGUGAAAGGGGAUCACCCUUUUAAAUCCUCAAUUACAGAAGAAGUUCCUCUAUUAGUUAGUCGUGAGUUUUGUCAGUUUCUUGAAAGAAAGUUAAUUGUAACUCGCAGGAAGAAGGUGUACGAAAAGAAUGAUGAUAUAAUUGAGAAAGAGUUUGAUCUUGGAGUUGCAUACAUAGCUCAGAUGACGUGAUUUUUGAACUACACUAUGCUGGUAUAGGUAUCAGCUCGACGCACUUUGAUGUGAUAUUCUACUACUUCUGGAAGAAAGCUAAAUAUGAAAAUGUGAGGAUGACAACGACUGACAAAUUGUUUUGGUUGUAGCAUUCAAGAGUUAUUCGCUAAAUCAACUUCAAGGGGCACAAAUGUAAGAAACAAGAUGCUCGCCUUGACAAAGAAAAGUAUAUCAUUGAAGGUAAGAAGAUUCUUGCAGACAAUCACAUCUUUGAUUCUAAACAUCUUCAAACCAGAUUUGGAACAUUAGUAUACCAUUAUGGGAAGAAAAAGCAGGUGAAAAAUCUGGUUAGUAAAGAUGAAGCCAUUGGAAGAUUAGACACACCUUGUGUUUCGAAAAGGCGCAACACGAGGAGUAAGAAGUAGUUUUUUAGGUUGUAGGUGUGAGUGAUGAUGUUGAUUAAUUAGUACUCUCAUACAACUUUUUAGAAAAGUAGUAUUAUAGUUGUGAGCAGAUUACUGAUGUACUUUAGGAAAUUUCUAGUUUUUUGCUUCUGAGUAUGCUAUAUGCAAACAUCUUCUAAACUUCUUUUUAGAAAUCUUAAAUUUAGUUUUU
Molecule: non-coding RNA, 2975 nt
Organism: Nicotiana tabacum (common tobacco)
Lineage: Eukaryota; Viridiplantae; Streptophyta; Magnoliopsida; Solanales; Solanaceae
Source: RefSeq, a predicted model, not a curated record